This 492-nucleotide ribosomal RNA is filed under the name uncultured bacterium. RNAcentral describes it as "partial 16S ribosomal RNA". It matches the Rfam family "Bacterial small subunit ribosomal RNA", at positions 29 to 507 of the family's 1533-position model. The record is from RNAcentral.
AGUGAACGCUGGCGGUAGGCCUAACACAUGCAAGUCGAACGGCAGCACAGUAAGAGCUUGCUCUUACGGGUGGCGAGUGGCGGACGUGUGAGGAAUACAUCGGAAUCUACUUUUUCGUGGGGGAUAACGUAGGGAAACUUACGCUAAUACCGCAUACGACCUACGGGUGAAAGCAGGGGAUCUUCGGACCUUGCGCGAUUGAAUGAGCCGAUGUCGGAUUAGCUAGUUGGCGGGGUAAAGGCCCACCAAGGCGACGAUCCGUAGCUGGUCUGAGAGGAUGAUCAGCCACACUGGAACUGAGACACGGUCCAGACUCCUACGGGAGGCAGCAGUGGGGAAUAUUGGACAAUGGGCGCAAGCCUGAUCCAGACAUACCGCGUGGGUGAAGAAGGCCUUCGGGUUGUAAAGCCCUUUUGUUGGGAAAGAAAAGCAGCAGGUUAAUACCCCGCUGUUCUGACGGUACCCAAAGAAUAAGCACCGGCUAACUUCGUG